Molecule: ribosomal RNA, 895 nt
Filed under: uncultured archaeon
Lineage: Archaea
Description: bacterial SSU rRNA
Rfam family: Archaeal small subunit ribosomal RNA
Source: RNAcentral
GUGGCAGCAGCCGCGGUAACACCAGCGCCACAAGUGGCAACCGCUUUUAUUGGGCCUAAAGCGUCCGUAGCCGGUUCAGUAAAUUUCCUGUGAAAUCGUUGAGCUUAACUUAACGUUGUGCAGGAAAGACUGCUGAACUUGGGACCGGGAGGCGUCAGAGGUAUUCUUGAGGGAGCGGUAAAAUGCUAUAAUCUCAGGAGGACCACCGAUGGCGAAGGCAUCUGACGAGAACGGAUCCGACGGUGAGGGACGAAAGCUAGGGGAGCAAACCGGAUUAGAUACCCGAGUAGUCCUAGCUGUAAACUCUGCGAGCUAGGUGUUACGUAUUCUUCGGGAAUACGUAGUGUCGAAGCGAAGGUGUUAAGCUCGCCGCCUGGGAAUUAUGGUCGCAAGACUGAAACUUAAAGGAAUUGGCGGGGGAGCACUACAAGGGGUGCGGCGUGCGGUUUAAUCUAAUUCAACACAGAGAAUCUCACCAGAAGCGACGGCAGGAUGAAGGUCAGGUUAAAGGCCUUACCUAACGAGCCGAGAGGUAGUGCAUGGCCGUCGUCAGCUCGUGCCGUAAGGUGUCCUGUUAAGUCAGGCAACGAGCGAGACCUAUACUCACAAUUGCUAACAAGCUCUGCGAUUGAGCACAUUGUGAGAACUGCCCUUGAAAAGGGGAGGAAGGUGUAGGCUACGAUAGGUCUGUAUGCUCCGAAUCUUCCGGGCUACACGCGCGCAACAAUGGUAAGGACAAUAGGAUGCAACUCCGAGAGAAGAAGCCAAUCCCCGAAACCUUAUCUUAGUUCAGAUCGAGGUUUGUAACUCAACCUCGUGACGCUGGAAUCCCUAGUAAUCAGGUAUUAUCAGUGCCUGGUGAACAUGUCCCUGCUCCUUGCACACACCGCCCGUC